Paenibacillus sabinae T27 is the source of this 151-nucleotide non-coding RNA. The record is from Rfam. NCBI's taxonomy places the organism in Bacteria, Bacillati, Bacillota, Bacilli, Caryophanales, Paenibacillaceae.
UUACUUUGAAUAUGCUUACCGUAGACAGUAGGUGCCGCAAGGCUUAAUUUCCUACCGAGGUGUUAUGAUAGAAACAAAGGAAGCGGCGCGGCCGUGUACUUACCGUUUUAUCAAGCCUUCGUGAAUCUGCGGAGGCUUUUCUAAUGCCUGC